Molecule: ribosomal RNA, 819 nt
Filed under: Trechispora sp.
Lineage: Eukaryota; Fungi; Basidiomycota; Agaricomycetes; Trechisporales; Hydnodontaceae
Description: partial large subunit ribosomal RNA
Rfam family: Eukaryotic large subunit ribosomal RNA
Source: RNAcentral
CCCCUAGUAACUGCGAGUGAAGCGGGAAAAGCUCAAAUUUGAAAUCUGGCGGCUCUGCCGUCCGAGUUGUAUUCUGGAGAAGCGUCUUCCGUGCCGGACCGUGUACAAGUCCCUUGGAACAGGGCGUCGUAGAGGGUGAGAAUCCCGUCUUUGACACGGAUCCCCGGUGCUAUGUGAUGCGCUCUCGAAGAGUCGAGUUGUUUGGGAAUGCAGCUCAAAAUGGGUGGUAAAUUCCAUCUAAAGCUAAAUAUUGGCGAGAGACCGAUAGCGAACAAGUACCGUGAGGGAAAGAUGAAAAGCACUUUGGAAAGAGAGUAAAACAGUACGUGAAAUUGUUGAAAGGGAAACGCUUGAAGUCAGUCGCGUCUGCCGGAACUCAGCCUUGCUCAUGCUUGGUGCACUUUCCGGUCUGACGGGCCAGCAUCGGUUUUGGGCGGCGGACACUGGCGAGGGGAAGGUGGCAGCUCCGGCUGUGUUAUAGCCCCCCGUCGCAAACGUCGUCUGGGACCGAGGAAUCCGGCGCAAGCCUGGGAUGCUGGCGUAAUGGCUUUAAGCGACCCGUCUUGAAACACGGACCAAGGAGUGCUACGUGCUCGCGAGUGUUUGGGUGGAAAACCCGGACGCGCAAUGAAAGUGAAAGUCGAUACCCCUUGCGGGGGCAACGACGCCCGAGCCUGAUGUUUUCGGAAGGCCUUGCGGUAGAGCGAGUGCGUUGCGACCCGAAAGAUGGUGAACUAUUCCUGAGGAGGGCGAAGCCAGAGGAAACUCUGGUGGAGGCUCGUAGCGGUUCUGACGUGCAAAUCGAUCGCAGGACUUGGG